UUUCCUUUCCUUUUUCUCUUCCCUUUUCCCCUGGGAUGUGCUGCCAACACUUGACGAGUCCUGAAGACUCCACAACGACCCCAUGAAAUCCUACUGAUGAAGAUCUUUCGAGGGCAAUCGUCAGUCACGGGGUGGUUUCCGGCUUAGAACAGGACACAGUGCAGGUGCAACCACUGAACCGUCAUGCUGGCUGUUCCGAACAAGGCCUGGCAAGAACUUGGCAAGGAGUUGGCAAGGACUUGGCAAAGACCUGACACGGACCCAGCACGGGACAGCCUGAUGCGCAGCCUGCUUCUAAUCUCCGUUCUUAAGCCAAAUGAACUUUUGGGGUGACUCCCGUGGUCCUUCAUUGAAGACCCCUCAUCUGCCUCGUUACCACUGUGACAAACAAAGAAUGAGAACCCUCCUCCCAAGGACUGAGACCCCUGCUAUAGGGAGGAGGGGAAAUUGGUGGUCUGACCACUAAUGACAUGACCUGUUUCCCUUCAGUGAUUCAAAUGGACUUAUUCUUCAUUGUAUUCGUCUUGCUUUGGUGGUUUCUGUGGACUCACCUGUUCCCUCAGGGCGAUUACAAUGGACUUUCAUUGUUACACUUGUUCCCCCCUCUUUCCUCUGUGGACUAUAAUUGGAGCCCCGAGUUGACCAGAACUUCGAAGACUUCCCCGACACGACAGACGGAUCCCCAUCGUCCGGACCACUGAGGAUCUCGCCUGUGUUGGUAGCUAUUCCCAUAUCCUUCCUCUUCUCUCUCUCUAUUCUUCUAUCUCCUUUCUGAUCCCCACUAUCGCAUUUACUGUUUUGGCCCCUAAUAAAGGUGCAUUUGUUGUGAUUAACUGA
This is a long non-coding RNA of Vidua macroura (Pin-tailed whydah), 837 nucleotides long. RefSeq lists it as uncharacterized. The transcript has 2 exons. The record is from RefSeq and is a predicted model, not a curated record. Lineage: Eukaryota; Metazoa; Chordata; Aves; Passeriformes; Viduidae.